CAGUAGCCGCGGGAACACAGAGGGUGCGAGCGUUAAUCGGAUUUACUGGGCGUAAAGCGUGCGUAGGCGGCUUCUUAAGUCGGAUGUGAAAUCCCUGAGCUUAACUUAGGAAUUGCAUUCGAUACUGGGAAGCUAGAGUAUGGGAGAGGAUGGUAGAAUUCCAGGUGUAGCGGUGAAAUGCGUAGAGAUCUGGAGGAAUACCGAUGGCGAAGGCAGCCAUCUGGCCUAAUACUGACGCUGAGGUACGAAAGCAUGGGGAGCAAACAGGAUUAGAUACCCCGGUAGUCCCUGUCUCUUAUAC
RNAcentral lists this ribosomal RNA (301 nucleotides) under uncultured bacterium. RNAcentral's name for it is "partial 16S ribosomal RNA". It matches the Rfam family "Bacterial small subunit ribosomal RNA", at positions 509 to 807 of the family's 1533-position model. The record is from RNAcentral.